Molecule: microRNA precursor, 193 nt
Filed under: Elaeis guineensis (African oil palm)
Lineage: Eukaryota; Viridiplantae; Streptophyta; Magnoliopsida; Arecales; Arecaceae
Description: miR172e stem-loop (egu-MIR172e)
Gene: egu-MIR172e
Source: miRBase by way of RNAcentral
AUGCAGCAUCAUCAAGAUUCUCAUCCUGGUUCUGAAUUAAGAGCUUCACCCGCUCAAUUGGAGCAGCUGCUGUUUUCGAGACAGCAGCAGAAACUCCUCCCAUAAGAAAAUCUAUAAGAAAUCCUGAAAUACCCUUCUCCUGGGGGGCACAAGCAGAGAUGGGCGAUGGAUGUGAAUCUUGAUGAUGCUGCAC